Molecule: ribosomal RNA, 1337 nt
Filed under: metagenome
Description: bacterial LSU rRNA
Rfam family: Bacterial large subunit ribosomal RNA
Source: RNAcentral
AAAAAAGCUUCGCGAACGAGGACUGCAGUUGACCGUACCGUAAUCCGACACAGGUAGACGAGGCGAGUAGCCUAAGGGGCUCGAGUGAUUUACGGAAAAGGAACUCGGCAAAAUGACCCCGUAACUUCGGGAUAAGGGGUGCCAGUAGUAGCUGACCUAACCAAGGGAAGGCGAGGCUGGCCGCAGAGAAUCGUCUCAAGCGACUGUUUAGCAAAAACACAGGAGCGUGCUAAGGCGUUGUCCAAGCCUACGUAUACGCUCUGACUCCUGCCCGGUGCCGGAAGGUUAAGGCAAGUCGUCAGCCGCAAGGCGAAGCGAUGCACCGAAGCCCCGGUAAACGGCGGCCGUAACGAUAACGGUCCUAAGGUAGCGAAAUUCCUUGUCGGGUAAGUUCCGACCUGCACGAAUGGAGUAACGACUUGAGAGCUGUCUCUUCCGUAAGCUCGGCGAAAUAGAAGCAUCGGUGAGGAUUCCGAUUACCCGCGACAGGACAAAAAGACCCCAUGCACCUUUACUACAACCUGUCAUUGAUUGUCGGUAUGCGCUGCGUAGCAUAGGUGGGAGCCAUUGAGACCGCGGUUUUGGCUGCGGUGGAGGCACCAGUGAAAUACCACCCUUCGUUUACUAACAAUCUCACUCAGCCGGCAACACCGGCGAGGACCGUGGCAGGCGGGUAGUUUGACUGGGGCGGUCGCCUCCUAAAGAGUACCGGAGGCGCGCAAUGGUUGGCUCAGUGCGGUCGGUAAUCGCACGUGGAGUGUAUACGCAAAAGCCAGCCUGACUGCGAGCGCUACAGCGCGAGCAGGGACGAAAGUCGGUGUAAGUGAUCCGGCGGGACCGUGUGGACGGCCCGUCGCUCAUCGGAUAAAAGGUACGCUGGGGAUAACAGGCUUAUCGCGCCCGAGAGUUCACAUCGACGGCGCGGUUUGGCACCUCGAUGUCGGCUUGUCACAUCCUGGGGCUGGAGAAGGUCCCAAGGGUCCGGCUGUUCGCCGGUUAAAGUGGCACAUGAGCUGGGUUCAGAACGUCGUGAGACAGUUCGGUCUGUAUCCGUCGUGGGCGUGGGAGUGUUGAGGGACGUCGACCUUAGUACGAGAGGACCGGGUCGAAGCGACCGCUCGUGUACGGGCUGUUCCGCCAGGGGCAGCGCCCGGUAGCGAUGUCGCGCGAAGAUAACCGCUGAAAGCAUCUAAGUGGGAAACUUUUCCCAAGAUGAACACUCCUGGAUCUUAAGAUCCCUGUAGGGCCGUAGGAGACUACUACGUUGAUAGGCGGCAGAUGCACGGCACGUAAGUGCUUUAGUCGAGCCGUACUAAUCGCCCGUGAAGUUUGAUCUC